CCCUUAGAUGUUCUGGGCCGCACGCGUGCUACACUGAGUGGAUCAGCGGGUCAGGUUGCGCGAAAGUGUUUCCUAAUCUUGAAAUCCGCUCGUGAUGGGGAUCGACGGUUGCAAUUUUCCGUCAUGAACGAGGAAUACCUUGUAAGCGCGGGUCAUCAUCCCGCGCUGAAUACGUCCCUGCCCUUUGUACACACCGCCCGUCGCUCCUACCGAUUGAGUGGUCCGGUGAGGCUUUGGGAUCUGAGCAAAAAGAGCGUUUCGCUCGUUUGGCUCGGAAAACUCAGUCGAACCUUAUCAUUUAGAGGAAGGAGAAGUCGUAACA
This 322-nucleotide ribosomal RNA is filed under the name uncultured eukaryote. RNAcentral describes it as "partial 18S ribosomal RNA". It matches the Rfam family "Eukaryotic small subunit ribosomal RNA", at positions 1470 to 1796 of the family's 1831-position model. The record is from RNAcentral.